Molecule: ribosomal RNA, 253 nt
Filed under: uncultured bacterium
Lineage: Bacteria
Description: partial 16S ribosomal RNA
Rfam family: Bacterial small subunit ribosomal RNA
Source: RNAcentral
UACGUAGGGUGCGAGCGUUAAUCGGAAUUACUGGGCGUAAAGCGUGCGCAGGCGGCUUUGCAAGACAGAUGUGAAAUCCCCGGGCUCAACCUGGGAACUGCAUUUGUCACUGCAAGGCUAGAGUACGGCAGAGGGGGAUGGAAUUCCGCGUGUAGCAGUGAAAUGCGUAGAUAUGCGGAGGAACACCAAUGGCGAAGGCAAUCCCCUGGGCCUGUACUGACGCUCAUGCACGAAAGCGUGGGGAGCAAACAGG